RNAcentral lists this long non-coding RNA (389 nucleotides) under Elaeis guineensis (African oil palm). RNAcentral's name for it is "long non-coding RNA (EGUI_LNC017546)". The record is from RNAcentral. Lineage: Eukaryota; Viridiplantae; Streptophyta; Magnoliopsida; Arecales; Arecaceae.
UGAUAUAAUAAAGAUAACACAAGCACUUUUUCAUUUUCCCCUUUUUGCAUGAUUAGUAAUACUGAUUUUUGAUAAAAAAAGUCUCAAAAAAAAAGAAGCAUAAGAGCAUAUAAAUAAAUACCUCAAAGCCAACCCAUGCAAUGAAGAGAAGCAUAGGCACAGCCAGUGAAUUGGUAAAUCUACUGUAAAGCUCAAGUUUGGCCAUGCUUCUCCCUAACUAAAACAACAUAUAAAGAGAACCAGCCCAAUGACAAACCAAAAAUGAUAAAUAAAAAAAUCUCAAAUAGGUAUAAAUACGAGGUAUAUCCCCUUGUAUAGGAUCAUCAAGAACAUAGGGUAAAAGCUAGAUCCGUUCAACUUCUUUUUUUUGAGCAAAAGGAGACUACUGC